AACAUUGAAAGGGGAACUCGCUCUCAACACGUGAUUGUCUCGAGCCCUGCGAACUGUCCCCGAGCAGUCCAGGAGCAUCUUCCCAGUGCCCACGCUGUGUUGAUCCAGAGGAGACUGGUCAACACCGUCCCCCUCAACUGUUGACAACUAGGAACCAAAGGACCGUUGCCAGACAUGGGUCAGGACAACCAGUUGCUUUUCUCUUGACAUGGGAUCAACUCCCCGGGAACACGUGAAAUGGCCUGGAACUGGCAGGAGGUGCAGAUGCUAGAAUGAUCUCAGUGGCCACAAAUGAGCCAUCCAGAGGCUGGAGAUGGGGUGGUCUGAGUGGUUCCUGAGAGGCUCCUGAAGCACUCAGAGCAAUGACUGGGUUCUACGAGUUGGUCUUUAAAGGAUCUCAAGAGGCUGACCGUGACUCUUUUGGUUGAUUUACUCCUGAGGUUCCCAUUGGCUGGCUAUCUCCGAACAGCCUCAUGGUAAUAUAACAAAGCAGCACACCUCUUUUAAAGAAGCAGCUUAGGGUGCUGAACAGUCACAAAAUUAGUGAAAGCAGUUAAAUCCUCA
This is a long non-coding RNA of Odocoileus virginianus texanus, 564 nucleotides long. RefSeq lists it as uncharacterized. NCBI's taxonomy places the organism in Eukaryota, Metazoa, Chordata, Mammalia, Artiodactyla, Cervidae. The record is from RefSeq and is a predicted model, not a curated record.